ACGAGGAGCCUGCUCCUCUGAUCAGUGGCGAACGGGUGAGUAACACGUGAGCAACCUGCCCCAGACUCUGGGAUAACAGUUGGAAACAGCUGCUAAUACCGGAUACGAGACGGAGAGGCAUCUCUACCGUCUGGAAAGUUUUUCGGUCUGGGAUGGACUCGCGGCCUAUCAGCUAGUUGGUGAGGUAAUGGCUCACCAAGGCGACGACGGGUAGCCGGCCUGAGAGGGCGACCGGCCACACUGGGACUGAGACACGGCCCAGACUCCUACGGGAGGCAGCAGUGGGGAAUAUUGCACAAUGGGCGAAAGCCUGAUGCAGCGACGCCGCGUGAGGGAUGACGGCCUUCGGGUUGUAAACCUCUCUCAGCAGGGAAGAAGCGAAAGUGACGGUACCUGCAGAAGAAGCACCGGCUAACUACGUGCCAGCAGCCGCGGUAAUACGUAGGGUGCGAGCGUUGUCCGGAAUUAUUGGGCGUAAAGAGCUUGUAGGCGGUUUGUCGCGUCUGCAGUGAAAAUCCGAGGCUCAACCUCGGACUUGCUGUGGGUACGGGCAGACUAGAGUAUGGUAGGGGAGACCGGAAUUCCUGGUGUAGCGGUGGAAUGCGCAGAUAUCAGAGGAACACCGAUGGCGAAGGCAGGUCUCUGGGCCAUAACUGACGC
This 660-nucleotide ribosomal RNA is filed under the name uncultured bacterium. RNAcentral's name for it is "bacterial SSU rRNA". It matches the Rfam family "Bacterial small subunit ribosomal RNA", at positions 71 to 746 of the family's 1533-position model. The record is from RNAcentral.